UCACGGCUGCCAAGAAAAGCUUCUAAGUUUAGAUCGCGCGAACCGUACCGCAAACCAACUCAGGUGGAUGGGAUGAAUAAUCCAAGGCGCUCGAGAGAACUCUGGCCAAGGAACUCGGCAAAUUGACCCCGUACCUUCGGAAUAAGGGGUGCUCCCCACGGUGAGACAAAUACUUGUUCAGCCCCGGGGAGCCGCAGAGAAAUGGUGGUGGCGACUGUUUACUAAAAACAUAGGUCUGUGCGAAGUCCUACAGACGACGUAUACGGACUGACGCCUGCCCGGUGCCGGAAGGUUAAAAGGAGGAGUCAGCGCAAGCGAAGCUCCGAUUUGAAGCCCCGGUAAACGGCGGCCGUAACUAUAACGGUCCUAAGGUAGCGAAAUUCCUUGUCGGGCAAGUUCCGACCUGCACGAAUGGCGUAACGAUCUCCACGCUGUCUCGGCCAGAGACUCGGUGAAAUUGAAGUCGCGGUGAAAAUGCCGUGUACCCGCAGAAAGACGGAAAGACCCUGUGCACCUUUACUAUAGCUUGACAUUGGGUUUGAACCUGCAUGUGUAGGAUAGGUGGGAGGCUGUGAAAGCUGUACGCCAGUAUGGCCGGAGCCACCCGUGAAAUACCACCCUUGUUUGUUCAGGACCCUAACUCGCAGCUGUAAUCCAGCGCGAAGACAGUGUCUGGUGGGUAGUUUGACUGGGGCGGUCGCCUCCUAAAGAGUAACGGAGGCAUGCAAAGGUUCCCUCAGGCUGAUUGGAAACCAGCCGUUGAGUGCAAGCGCAUAAGGGAGCCUGACUGCAAGAGAGACAUCUCGAACAGAUACGAAAGUAGGUGCUAGUGAUCCGGUGGUCCCGAAUGGAAGGGCCAUCGCUCAUUGGAUAAAAGGUACGCCGGGGAUAACAGGCUGAUCGCAUCCAAGAGUUCACAUCGACGAUGCGGUUUGGCACCUCGAUGUCGGCUCAUCACAUCCUGGGGCUGAAGCAGGUCCCAAGGGUACGGCUGUUCGCCGUUUAAAGUGGUACGCGAGCUGGGUUUAAAACGUCGUGAGACAGUUUGGUCCCUAUCUUCUGUGGGCGUAGGAGAAUUGAGAGGGUUUGUCCCUAGUACGAGAGGACCGGGAUGAACGCACCACUGGUGGAUCAGUUGUCGCGCCAGCGGCAUAGCUGAGUAGCUAUGUGCGGAAUGGAUAACCGCUGAAAGCAUCUAAGCGGGAAGCCAGCCUCGAGAUAAGUUCUCCCUGUCGCAAGACACUAAAGGGCCGAUGAAGACUACAUCGUUGAUAGGCCGGAGGUGGAAGCGCUGCGAAGCGUGGAGCUGACCGGUACUAAUAGCCCGUGCGCCG
This 1334-nucleotide ribosomal RNA is filed under the name metagenome. RNAcentral describes it as "bacterial LSU rRNA". It matches the Rfam family "Bacterial large subunit ribosomal RNA", at positions 1599 to 2925 of the family's 2925-position model. The record is from RNAcentral.